Molecule: unclassified non-coding RNA, 520 nt
Filed under: uncultured Glomus
Lineage: Eukaryota; Fungi; Glomeromycota; Glomeromycetes; Glomerales; Glomeraceae
Description: SSU rRNA
Rfam family: Eukaryotic small subunit ribosomal RNA
Source: RNAcentral
AGCAGCCGCGGUAAUUCCAGCUCCAAUAGCGUAUAUUAAAGUUGUUGCAGUUAAAAAGCUCGUAGUUGAAUUUCGGGGUUAGUAGGUUGGUCAUGCCUCUGGUAUGUACUGGUCUCACUGAUUCCUCCUUCCUGAUGAACCUUAAUGCCAUUUAUUUGGUGUUUUGGGGAAUUUGGACUGUUACUUUGAAAAAUUAGAGUGUUUAAAGCAAGCUAACGCUUGAAUACAUUAGCAUGGAAUAAUGAAAUAGGACGUUCGAUCCUAUUUUGUUGGUUUCUAGGAUUGACGUAAUGAUUAAUAGGGAUAGUUGGGGGCAUUAGUAUUCAAUUGUCAGAGGUGAAAUUCUUGGAUUUAUUGAAGACUAACUACUGCGAAAGCAUUUGCCAAGGAUGUUUUCAUUAAUCAAGAACGAAAGUUAGGGGAUCGAAGACGAUCAGAUACCGUCGUAGUCUUAACCAUAAACUAUGCCGACUAGGGAUCGGAUGAUGUUAAUUUUUAAUGACUCAUUCGGCGCUUUAAC